Molecule: long non-coding RNA, 1175 nt
Organism: Carassius carassius (crucian carp)
Lineage: Eukaryota; Metazoa; Chordata; Actinopteri; Cypriniformes; Cyprinidae
Exons: 2
Source: RefSeq, a predicted model, not a curated record
UUUUUUUUACAUCCAUCUUUAUUUAAAACCAUGUUUCUGGGUCAGUGAUGUGACUUUUGUCUGGAUCUGCUAUGUAAUUAAAAUACACAAGACUUGAAUAAACUUCUGUGAUGAGCAUGCAUUUAUUAUGUAAAUGGUUUUGUGGGGCUUCAAAGUCAAAUAUGUUGACAUUAGAAGCAUUUCUACCAUUGACAUAUAUUAAAAAAAAAUCUGCAAAAUGUAUAUUGGGGUGGGGGGAUGAAGGGUGGGGUGUCUAUGUGGGUAGCAAUUUAGUUGUUUUACAUUGUGUGAAAUGUGUUUAAAACUGUUCUGAAUAAACGAUCUGGCUGUCCAAAUACUUCAGUUGCAAGGAAAACGAAGUUCCUAGAUCUUUAAAAGAACUAGAUCUUUAAAUUAUUUUUCCUUUUUAUAUUCAUAUUCAGAAUAAUUAUUUGUCAUUUCCUCUCUGCAUGUUUAAACAUACACAGAAUUUUUUUUUUCCAUUUUUUAAUUUGCCAUUGGAAAACGCCAUAAAAAUAUAAGACACAAGAUUAGAAAACUAUGCCCAUGUUCCCAGUUAAGACUCCAUUCGUUUGAGCGCGCUGGUGAUCCGGCAGUGAAUGGGUUAGGUUUCGCAUUACAAUAGACAGUAGAGAAUUUCAAGAAACAUGCUCUCCAGCCAUCUUUUCCUCGGGACGAAGGUUUUAAUUUGGAGUUUUAGCAGUUUAGUUUCAUGUGGCUGUAAAUUAAAACUCGACUAAACUGGCGAGUAGCCUAAUUUAAUCAAGGACGGUUCUGCGCGUAAAGGCGCACGAAGUUGGGUUUGAAGGGAAGCAAAGUGAAAUCACUGUAAAACGCUGCUUGGCGAGACAUGGAGAAAGAGAAGCUCCCUCUGUAGACGCCUCAACGAGUCACAAACGUUGCAGAAGACGAAAACAUCUAUAUGAAAGAAAAAUAAAUUUUUACUUACCAGACAUAUUGGCCUGAAAAGGAGGAAAACUCUGGAAGUGCUACAGUGAAAUACCCCAACGUCAGUUCUUUGCUCUAUUAUAUGGGCAAGAACGAAUUAUUCACAAAAGUCUUAAAAAGUCUCAACAAAGUAACCUCAAAACACUCUCAGGACAUACAAUUAUACAGUAAUAUAGCUAGGGAUAUUUUAGUUUGAGUUUUUCUCCCCUCAUCCCUACUAUUUAAAA